GAGUAGUUAGUUUAAAUAAAACCUCUAAUUUCGGCUUAGACAAUCAUGCCUUAGCAUGACUACCCA
RNAcentral lists this transfer RNA (66 nucleotides) under Porichthys myriaster (specklefin midshipman). RNAcentral describes it as "tRNA-Arg". The record is from RNAcentral. Lineage: Eukaryota; Metazoa; Chordata; Actinopteri; Batrachoidiformes; Batrachoididae.